GAAACCCGGUGAUCUAGCCAUGGGCAGGUUGAAGGUUGGGUAACACUAACUGGAGGACCGAACCGACUAAUGUUGAAAAAUUAGCGGAUGACUUGUGGCUGGGGGUGAAAGGCCAAUCAAACCGGGAGAUAGCUGGUUCUCCCCGAAAGCUAUUUAGGUAGCGCCUCGUGAAUUCAUCUCCGGGGGUAGAGCACUGUUUCGGCAAGGGGGUCAUCCCGACUUACCAACCCGAUGCAAACUGCGAAUACCGGAGAAUGUUAUCACGGGAGACACACGGCGGGUGCUAACGUCCGUCGUGAAGAGGGAAACAACCCAGACCGCCAGCUAAGGUCCCAAAGUCAUGGUUAAGUGGGAAACGAUGUGGGAAGGCCCAGACAGCCAGGAUGUUGGCUUAGAAGCAGCCAUCAUUUAAAGAAAGCGUAAUAGCUCACUGGUCGAGUCGGCCUGCGCGGAAGAUGUAACGGGGCUAAACCAUGCACCGAAGCUGCGGCAGCGACACUAUGUGUUGUUGGGUAGGGGAGCGUUCUGUAAGCCUGUGAAGGUGGCCUGUGAGGGUUGCUGGAGGUAUCAGAAGUGCGAAUGCUGACAUAAGUAACGAUAAAGCGGGUGAAAAGCCCGCUCGCCGGAAGACCAAGGGUUCCUGUCCAACGUU
This 652-nucleotide ribosomal RNA is filed under the name Escherichia coli. Its description in RNAcentral is "partial 23S ribosomal RNA". It matches the Rfam family "Bacterial large subunit ribosomal RNA", at positions 717 to 1366 of the family's 2925-position model. Lineage: Bacteria; Pseudomonadati; Pseudomonadota; Gammaproteobacteria; Enterobacterales; Enterobacteriaceae. The record is from RNAcentral.